Long non-coding RNA from Hermetia illucens (black soldier fly), 609 nucleotides. RefSeq lists it as uncharacterized. Lineage: Eukaryota; Metazoa; Arthropoda; Insecta; Diptera; Stratiomyidae. The record is from RefSeq and is a predicted model, not a curated record. The transcript is spliced from 5 exons.
UAUAAAACUUUCAUUUUUCAUUCUGUCAAAAUAAUAAAGCCCUCAGAAAGCUUACUGUAAAGCGCUUUACGAUAAUAAUAAUUAUUCAGAAAACUAUCCGGUGAUUUACGACCCGUAAUUAACAAGUUGUCAGAUAUUUCAAACAAAAAAUAGUUUUGAAAAUUAAGAAGAAAAAUUCCUGAGUUUUAGGGGAGUUGACUAUUGAGAAAAUACCGUCUGAAUGUUCCAAAUGAUGAUUGUAAAUAUGGCGGUUCUGUACAAAACCAUUCUAUAAAAUUUAAAGGCUUUCUAAAGGUUUAGCACAUGGGAGCAUCGGGAAGAUGUAUGAUUUGGCCACAUACGGCGUUAAUUGCAAAUAAAUGAAAAUGUUUUUUUUUGUAUUUGUUUCAAUGAAACCAAUCUGUGGCAAUGGAAAUGUCGAAAAUAUCCGAAUUUCACUGUGAUCGACUGUUGAACGUACGGCAGGAUAAUAUUUUUACCAUAGCAACGUAUUGUUUAGGUUUUUUUUACAUUUAGUAGUUUUGAAAAUAUAUAUUCAAUAUAUGUUCAUUUUAAAUUCAUCUGUAGCCUGAAAAGAAACACGGUAGUACAUGUAUGUAUAUGUAUAUA